AUUGAACGCUGGCGGCGUGCCUAACACAUGCAAGUCGAGCGGUAACAGGUGUAGCAAUACAUGCUGACGAGCGGCGAACGGGUGAGUAAUGCUUCGGAAUCUACCCAAUGGUGGGGAAUAACCAGCCGAAAGGUUGGCUAAUACCGCAUACGUCCCACGGGAGAAAGCAGGGGAUCGCAAGACCUUGCGCCAAUGGAUGAGCCGAAGUCGGAUUAGCUAGUUGGAGGGUAACGGCCUACCAAGGCGACGAUCCGUAGCUGGUCUGAGAGGACGACCAGCCACACUGGGACUGAGACACGGCCCAGACUCCUACGGGAGCAGCAGUGGGGAAUAUUGGACAAUGGGGGAAACCCUGAUCAGCGACGCCGCGUGUGUGAAGAA
Molecule: ribosomal RNA, 381 nt
Filed under: uncultured bacterium
Lineage: Bacteria
Description: bacterial SSU rRNA
Rfam family: Bacterial small subunit ribosomal RNA
Source: RNAcentral